This 449-nucleotide ribosomal RNA is filed under the name uncultured bacterium. Its description in RNAcentral is "partial 16S ribosomal RNA". It matches the Rfam family "Bacterial small subunit ribosomal RNA", at positions 29 to 523 of the family's 1533-position model. The record is from RNAcentral.
AACGAACGCUGGCGGCAUGCCUAACACAUGCAAGUCGAACGAAGGCUUCGGCCUUAGUGGCGCACGGGUGCGUAACACGUGGGAAUCUACCCUUAGGUUCGGAAUAACUCAGGGAAACUUGAACUAAUACCGGAUGAUGUCGUAAGACCAAAGAUUUAUCGCCUUUGGAUGAGCCCGCGUAGGAUUAGCUGGUUGGUGGGGUAAAGGCCUACCAAGGCGACGAUCCUUAGCUGGUCUGAGAGGAUGAUCAGCCACACUGGGACUGAGACACGGCCCAGACUUCUACGGGAGGCAGCAGUGGGGAAUAUUGGACAAUGGGCGCAAGCCUGAUCCAGCAAUGCCGCGUGAGUGAUGAAGGCCUUAGGGUUGUAAAGCUCUUUUACCAGGGAUGAUAAUGACAGUACCUGGAGAAUAAGCUCCGGCUAACUCCGUGCCAGCCGCCGCGGUAA